RNAcentral lists this ribosomal RNA (438 nucleotides) under uncultured bacterium. RNAcentral's name for it is "bacterial SSU rRNA". It matches the Rfam family "Bacterial small subunit ribosomal RNA", at positions 954 to 1392 of the family's 1533-position model. The record is from RNAcentral.
GCAGAACGCGAAGAACCUUACCAAGGCUUGACAUAUACCUGAAAAGGCUGGAAACAGUCUCCCCGCAAGGCAGGUAUACAGGUGGUGCAUGGUUGUCGUCAGCUCGUGUCGUGAGAUGUUGGGUUAAGUCCCGCAACGAGCGCAACCCUCGUUCUAUGUUGCCAGCACGUAAUGGUGGGAACUCAUAGGAGACUGCCGGGGUCAACUCGGAGGAAGGUGGGGAUGACGUCAAAUCAUCAUGCCCCUUAUGUCUUGGGCUUCACGCAUGCUACAAUGGCCGGUACAAAGGGCUGCAAUACCGCAAGGUGGAGCGAACUCCCAAAAAGCCGGUCUCAGUUCGGAUUGAGGUCUGCAACUCGACCUCAUGAAGUCGGAGUCGCUAGUAAUCGCAGAUCAGCAACGCUGCGGUGAAUACGUUCCCGGGUCUUGUACACACCG